AUUGAACGCUGGCGGCAUGCCUUACACAUGCAAGUCGAACGGCAGCACGGGGGCAACCCUGGUGGCGAGUGGCGAACGGGUGAGUAACAUAUCGGAACAUACCCUAGAGUGGGGGAUAACGUAGCGAAAGUUACGCUAAUACCGCAUACGAUCUAAGGAUGAAAGUGGGGGAUCUUCGGACCUCAUGCUCAUGGAGUGGCCGAUAUCUGAUUAGCUAGUUGGUGAGGUAAAGGCUCACCAAGGCGACGAUCAGUAGCUGGUUUGAGAGAACGACCAGCCACACUGGAACUGAGACACGGUCCAGACUCCUACGGGAGGCAGCAGUGGGGAAUUUUGGACAAUGGGCGCAAGCCUGAUCCAGCCAUGCCGCGUGCGGGAAGAA
Molecule: ribosomal RNA, 382 nt
Filed under: uncultured bacterium
Lineage: Bacteria
Description: bacterial SSU rRNA
Rfam family: Bacterial small subunit ribosomal RNA
Source: RNAcentral